This 234-nucleotide long non-coding RNA is filed under the name Elaeis guineensis (African oil palm). RNAcentral's name for it is "long non-coding RNA (EGUI_LNC019188)". The record is from RNAcentral. Lineage: Eukaryota; Viridiplantae; Streptophyta; Magnoliopsida; Arecales; Arecaceae.
GCCAUCUUGUCAUGCUCCUUCUUAACUUGUCUCUUCAAAACCUCUAUGGCCUUCUCAUGAGCCUCAUUGUCCUUUUUUAUCUCUUUAAGCCUCGACUCCAGUUCUUUAUUCUUUUCAAUGAUAGUAUGCAGAUCAAAAAUCUUUUUCUCCUAUUUAUUAAUCUUUCGUUAAAGAUCCAGUAGGUUUUGGUUCUUUUCUUUCAGUACCUUCAGCUUUUCUUUAAGUUGAUGUUUG